This 253-nucleotide ribosomal RNA is filed under the name uncultured bacterium. RNAcentral describes it as "partial 16S ribosomal RNA". It matches the Rfam family "Bacterial small subunit ribosomal RNA", at positions 524 to 776 of the family's 1533-position model. The record is from RNAcentral.
UACGUAGGGUGCAAGCGUUGUCCGGAAUUAUUGGGCGUAAAGAGCUCGUAGGCGGUCUGUCGCGUCUGCUGUGAAAACCUAGGGCUUAACCCUGGGCCUGCAGUGGGUACGGGCAGACUAGAGUGCGGUAGGGGAGACUGGAAUUCCUGGUGUAGCGGUGAAAUGCGCAGAUAUCAGGAGGAACACCGGUGGCGAAGGCGGGUCUCUGGGCCGUAACUGACGCUGAGGCACGAAAGCGUGGGGAGCAAACAGG